This is a non-coding RNA of Marasmius tenuissimus, 109 nucleotides long. NCBI's taxonomy places the organism in Eukaryota, Fungi, Basidiomycota, Agaricomycetes, Agaricales, Marasmiaceae. The record is from the annotation of a GenBank genome assembly.
AGCAGCAUGGCGCAGUGGUAGCGCGCGGGGCCCAUAUGAUACAAUGGCGAAUCAAAUUCAAAUUGAUCAUGGAACCCCGAGGUCACUUGAUCGAAACAAGUUGCUGCUA